RNAcentral lists this ribosomal RNA (253 nucleotides) under uncultured bacterium. RNAcentral describes it as "partial 16S ribosomal RNA". It matches the Rfam family "Bacterial small subunit ribosomal RNA", at positions 524 to 776 of the family's 1533-position model. The record is from RNAcentral.
UACGGAGGGUGCGAGCGUUGUCCGGAAUCACUGGGCGUAAAGGGCGCGUAGGCGGCCUGAUAAGUCGGGGGUGAAAUCCUGCGGCUUAACCGCAGGGCUGCCUUCUAAACUGUCAGGCUCGAGCACAGUAGAGGCAGAUGGAAUUCCCGGUGUAGCGGUGGAAUGCGUAGAGAUCGGGAAGAACAUCGGUGGCGAAGGCGGUCUGCUGGGCCGUUGCUGACGCUGAGGCGCGACAGCGUGGGGAGCAAACAGG